UUUUAGAGGGAAGUUGAAUUUAUGAUUUUCUUCCAUCAAUUUAACAAAGGCAAAAUUGAAGACGAGCUAUCGUUUCAGUCGUCAUAUUGUUCUAAAAAUUGACGAUUCGAUUGUUGACUCGCCUACAU
Molecule: non-coding RNA, 128 nt
Organism: Beta vulgaris subsp. vulgaris (sugar beet)
Lineage: Eukaryota; Viridiplantae; Streptophyta; Magnoliopsida; Caryophyllales; Amaranthaceae
Source: Rfam